RNAcentral lists this ribosomal RNA (305 nucleotides) under uncultured bacterium. RNAcentral describes it as "bacterial SSU rRNA". It matches the Rfam family "Bacterial small subunit ribosomal RNA", at positions 331 to 656 of the family's 1533-position model. The record is from RNAcentral.
UCCAACCUACGGGACGCAGCAGUGAGGGAUAUUGGUCAAUGGGGAAACCCUGAACCAGCAACGCCGCGUGAGGGAAGACGGUUUUCGGAUUGUAAACCUCUGUCCUCUGUGAAGAUAAUGACGGUACCUGACUAAGAAGCCCCGGCUAACUACGUGCCAGCAGCCGCGGUAAUACGUAGGGGGCAAGCGUUAUCCGGAUUUACUGGGUAUAAAGGGAGCGUAGGUGGCAGGGCAAGUCAGAUGUGAAAACCCGGGGCUCAACUCCGGGAGUGCAUUUGAAACUGUCCAGCUAGAGUGCAGGAGAG